RNAcentral lists this ribosomal RNA (461 nucleotides) under uncultured bacterium. RNAcentral's name for it is "partial 16S ribosomal RNA". It matches the Rfam family "Bacterial small subunit ribosomal RNA", at positions 338 to 795 of the family's 1533-position model. The record is from RNAcentral.
CCUACGGGUGGCAGCAGUGAGGAAUAUUGGUCAAUGGGCUUACGCCUGAACCAGCCAAGUCGCGUGAGGGAAGACUGCCCUAUGGGUUGUAAACCUCUUUUGUCAGGGAGCAACGCCGGCUACGUGUAGCCGGACUGAGAGUACCUGAAGAAAAAGCAUCGGCUAACUCCGUGCCAGCAGCCGCGGUAAUACGUAGGGGGCAAGCGUUAUCCGGCUUUACUGGGUGUAAAGGGAGCGUAGACGGCAGUGCAAGUCUGGAGUGAAAGGCGGGGGCUCAACCCCCGGACUGCUCUGGAAACUGUACGGCUGGAGUGCAGGAGAGGUAAGUGGAAUUCCUAGUGUAGCGGUGAAAUGCGUAGAUAUUAGGAGGAACACCAGUGGCGAAGGCGGCUUACUGGACUGUAACUGACGUUGAGGCUCGAAAGCGUGGGGAGCAAACAGGAUUAGAUACCCCUGUAGUC